This 349-nucleotide ribosomal RNA is filed under the name uncultured bacterium. RNAcentral's name for it is "bacterial SSU rRNA". It matches the Rfam family "Bacterial small subunit ribosomal RNA", at positions 443 to 793 of the family's 1533-position model. The record is from RNAcentral.
CGUCGUUAAUAGCGGCGUUGUUUGACGUUAGCGACAGAAGAAGCACCGGCUAACUCCGUGCCAGCAGCCGCGGUAAUACGGAGGGUGCGAGCGUUAAUCGGAAUUACUGGGCGUAAAGCGCAUGCAGGUGGUUUGUUAAGUCAGAUGUGAAAGACCCGGGGCUCAACCUCGGAAUUGCAUUUGAAACUGGCAGACUAGAGUACUGUAGAGGGGGGUAGGAAUUUCAGGUGUAGCGGUGAAAUGCGUAGAGAUCUGAAGGAAUACCGGUGGCGAAGGCGGCCCCCUCGGACAGAUACUGACACUCAGAUGCGAAAGCGUGGGGAGCAAACAGGAUUAGAUACCCUGGUAG